GACGAACGCUGGCGGCGUGCUUAACACAUGCAAGUCGAACGGAAAGGCCCUGCUUGCAGGGUGCUCGAGUGGCGAACGGGUGAGUAACACGUGGGUGAUCUGCCCCUUACUUUGGGAUAAGCCUGGGAAACUGGGUCUAAUACUGGAUAGGACCAUGCUGUAGGUGGUGUGGUGGAAAGAUUAGUUUCGGUAAGGGAUGAGCUCGCGGCCUAUCAGCUUGUUGGUGGGGUAAUGGCCUACCAAGGCGUCGACGGGUAGCCGGCCUGAGAGGGUGGACGGCCACAUUGGGACUGAGAUACGGCCCAGACUCCUACGGGAGGCAGCAGUGGGGAAUAUUGCACAAUGGGCGCAAGCCUGAUGCAGCGACGCCGCGUGGGGGAUGACGGCCUUCGGGUUGUAAACUCCUUUCAGCCAUGACGAAGCCCUUGUGGUGACGGUAGUGGUAGAAGAAGCACCGGCUAACUACGCG
Molecule: ribosomal RNA, 469 nt
Filed under: uncultured bacterium
Lineage: Bacteria
Description: partial 16S ribosomal RNA
Rfam family: Bacterial small subunit ribosomal RNA
Source: RNAcentral